GCCCUUCGGGGUAAGUACAGCGGCGGACGGGUGAGCAACACGUGAGAAUCUGCCCUUUAGUGAAGAAUACUCCCGAGAAAUCGGGCAUAAUACUGCAUAAGUCCCUGCGGGGAGAAAGAUGGCUUUAUGCUGUCGCUGAAGGAUGAGCUCGCGUACUAUUAGCUAGUUGGUGGGGUAAUGGCCUACCAAGGCGAUGAUGGUUAACCGGCCUGAGAGGGUGUUCGGUCACACUGGAACUGAGAUACGGUCCAGACUCCUACGGGAGGCAGCAGUGAGGAAUAUUGCGCAAUGGGCGAAAGCCUGACGCAGCGACGCCGCGUGGAGGAUGAAGGUCUUUGGAUUGUAAACUUCUGUUAAGUGGGACGAAAAAGUUGCUUCUAAUACAAGCAAAAAAUGACGGUACCACUAAAGAAAGCACCGGCUAACUUCGUGCCAGCAGCCGCGGUAAUACGAAGGGUGCAAGCGUUAUUCGGAUUUAUUGGGUGUAAAGGGUGUGUAGACGGUAUGUUAAGUCCGCUGUUAAAUUUCCCGGCCUAACUGGGAGCCAGCGGUGGAUACUGACGUGCUAGAGGAUGGAAGAGAGAAGUGGAAUUCCCGGAGUAGCGGUAAAAUGCGUAGAUCUCGGGAGGAACACCAAUGGCGAAGGCAGCUUCUUGGUCCAUAUCUGACGUUGAGACACGAAAGCGUGGGGAGCAAACAGGAUUAGAUACCCUGGUAGUCCACGCCGUAAACGAUAAUCACUAGAUGUUGGUUUGACUUAGUCGGAUCAGUAUCGUAGCUAACGCGUUAAGUGAUUCACCUGGGGAUUACGGUCGCAAGACUAAAACUC
RNAcentral lists this ribosomal RNA (829 nucleotides) under uncultured Pseudomonadota bacterium. Its description in RNAcentral is "bacterial SSU rRNA". It matches the Rfam family "Bacterial small subunit ribosomal RNA", at positions 75 to 902 of the family's 1533-position model. Lineage: Bacteria; Pseudomonadati; Pseudomonadota. The record is from RNAcentral.